This 533-nucleotide ribosomal RNA is filed under the name Siphlonurus binotatus. RNAcentral describes it as "SSU rRNA". It matches the Rfam family "Eukaryotic small subunit ribosomal RNA", at positions 620 to 1119 of the family's 1831-position model. RNAcentral also lists the same sequence under 1 other name. Lineage: Eukaryota; Metazoa; Arthropoda; Insecta; Ephemeroptera; Siphlonuridae. The record is from RNAcentral.
UAAAAAGCUCGUAGUUGGAUCUGUGUAUCGGACGGUCGGUUCGCCGCUCGCGGCGUUUAACUGACCGGUCCGGACGUCCUGCCGGUGGGACCUGGUUCGCGCCAGGGCCCGUAACUCCCUCCGCGCUGCUCUUAACCGAGUGGUUCGGUGGGCCGGCACGUUUACUUUGAACAAAUUUGAGUGCUCAAAGCAGGCCUUAUGUUGCCUGAAAACUGUGUGCAUGGAAUAAUGGAAUAGGGCCUCGGUUCUAUUUUGUUGGCUUUUCUGAACCCGAGGUAAUGAUUAAUAGGGACAGACGGGGGCAUUCGUAUGGCGACGUUAGAGGUGAAAUUCUUGGAUCGUCGCCAGACGGACCGAUGCGAAAGCGUUUGCCAAGAAUGUUUUCGCUAAUCAAGAACGAAAGUUAGAGGUUCGAAGGCGAUCAGAUACCGCCCUAGUUCUAACCAUAAACGAUGCCAGCCAGCGAUGCGCCGAAGUUCCUCCGAUGACUCGGCGCGCAGCUUCCGGGAAACCAAAGCUUUUGGGUUCCGGGG